RNAcentral lists this ribosomal RNA (776 nucleotides) under uncultured Neocallimastigales. RNAcentral's name for it is "partial large subunit ribosomal RNA". It matches the Rfam family "Eukaryotic large subunit ribosomal RNA", at positions 22 to 640 of the family's 3401-position model. Lineage: Eukaryota; Fungi; Neocallimastigomycota; Neocallimastigomycetes; Neocallimastigales. The record is from RNAcentral.
GUACACGCUGUGACUAGCAUAUCAAUAAGCGGAGGAAAAGAAACUAACAAGGAUUCCCCUAGUAACGGCGAGUGAAGCGGGAAGAGCUCAAAUUUGAAAUCUUAAAGGGUUUCCCUUUACGAAUUGUAGUUUAAAGAAGUGUUUUCUGUUGAGGUUUUGGUAAAAGUUCUUUGGAAUAGGACAUCAUAGAGGGUGAGAAUCCCGUAUUUGACCAUUGAUUUUCAACUGUGUGAUACACUUUCAAAGAGUCGGAUUGUUUAGGGAAUGCAGUCCAAAAUGGGUGGUAAAUUUCAUCUAAAGCUAAAUAUUGGCGAGAGACCGAUAGCGAACAAGUACCGUGAGGGAAAGAUGAAAAGAACUUUGAAAAGAGAGUUAAACAGUACGUGAAAUUGUCAAAAGGGAAGCGUUUGACACCAGUGUUGUUUUUCUGAAAAUCAAUUAAAGAACUGUUUAUGCUAAGCUGUUUAGACUUUAUCAGCUAUCUGUUUAGUUUUGAGCUUUUCUUUAAUGCACUUUUCAGUUAACAAGUCAACAUCAAUUUCUUUUGCUGUAAAAAAGCUUGAGGAAGGUGGCUUGAGAUUCGUCUUAAGUGUUUAUAGCCUCUUGCCUAUGCAGUCGGAGAGAUUGAGGUCUGCAGCGUAGAUCCUUCGGGGCUAAAUGCAUUUGUGCUAAGUUAUAGCAUUUUAUAGACAACUUGUUGACUAUGAUUUGUCUUGUAGCUUACUCGCCUAUGUUAUUUUACCUACGCUUAGGAUGUUGAUAUGCAUGACUGAUAU